Molecule: long non-coding RNA, 343 nt
Organism: Artibeus jamaicensis (Jamaican fruit-eating bat)
Lineage: Eukaryota; Metazoa; Chordata; Mammalia; Chiroptera; Phyllostomidae
Exons: 3
Source: RefSeq, a predicted model, not a curated record
CUUGCAAUAUUUCUAAUCAGGCAAGACUAGAGGUGAUGAACUCCCUCCGAUUGUUUGUUGGGAAAGCGUUGACCUCAUCUUCACUUCUGAAGAACAAGUUUGCAGGAGAAAGAAACUGACAACAGAGAGCCUGAGGAAAUUUCCUAAGUUUACAUGUGAAUAAACGCGAGAACUUGCAUUUGAACUCAGAGAAAGAGAAGUAUCGAUGUGAGAGAGAGACAUCAGUGGGUUCCCUCCCCCAUGUGCCCCAACGUGGGAUCAAACCUGCAACCUAGGUAAGUGCCCUGACUGGGAAUCGAACCCACAGCUUUUUGUGUAUGAAAUGACACUCCAACCAAAUGAA